Molecule: small nuclear RNA, 20 nt
Filed under: Arabidopsis thaliana (thale cress)
Lineage: Eukaryota; Viridiplantae; Streptophyta; Magnoliopsida; Brassicales; Brassicaceae
Description: snRNA_11460
Source: RNAcentral
UCCCUCGCGGGUGCACCGCC